UUGAACGCUGGCGGAAUGCUUUACACAUGCAAGUCGAGCGGCAGCGCGGGGCAACCUGGCGGCGAGCGGCGAACGGGUGAGUAAUAUAUCGGAACGUACCCUGUCGUGGGGGAUAACACAUCGAAAGAUGUGCUAAUACCGCAUACGACCUGAGGGUGAAAGCGGGGGAUCGCAAGACCUCGCGCGAUAGGCGCGGCCGAUAUCGGAUUAGCUAGUUGGUGAGGUAAAGGCCUACCAAGGCGACGAUCCGUAGCGGGUCUGAGAGGAGGAUCCGCCACACUGGGACGGAGACACGGCCCAGACUCCUACGGGAGGCAGCAGUGGGGAAUUUUGGACAAUGGGGGCAACCCUGAUCCAGCCAUGCCGCGUGAGUGAAGAAGGCCUGCGGGUUGUAAAGCUCUUGCAGACGGAAAGAAAGCGGGUGGGUGAAGAGCCUGCCUGGAUGACGGUACUGUCAGAAGAAGCACCGGCUAACUACGU
This 480-nucleotide ribosomal RNA is filed under the name uncultured bacterium. RNAcentral describes it as "bacterial SSU rRNA". It matches the Rfam family "Bacterial small subunit ribosomal RNA", at positions 29 to 506 of the family's 1533-position model. The record is from RNAcentral.